CACAUGGCACUCAACUCUGCAG
This 22-nucleotide microRNA is filed under the name Mus musculus (house mouse). RNAcentral's name for it is "mmu-miR-3082-3p". Lineage: Eukaryota; Metazoa; Chordata; Mammalia; Rodentia; Muridae. The record is from miRBase by way of RNAcentral.